RNAcentral lists this ribosomal RNA (510 nucleotides) under uncultured bacterium. RNAcentral describes it as "partial 16S ribosomal RNA". It matches the Rfam family "Bacterial small subunit ribosomal RNA", at positions 28 to 507 of the family's 1533-position model. The record is from RNAcentral.
GACGAACGCUGGCGGCGUGCUUAACACAUGCAAGUCGAACGAAGAGCGGUGGAAGCUUGCUUCUAUCAAUCUUAGUGGCGAACGGGUGAGUAACGCGUAAUCAACCUGCCCUUCAGAGGGGGACAACAGUUGGAAACGACUGCUAAUACCGCAUACGAUCUAAUCUCGGCAUCGAGGAUAGAUGAAAGGUGGCCUCUACAUGUAAGCUAUCACUGAAGGAGGGGAUUGCGUCUGAUUAGCUAGUUGGAGGGGUAACGGCCCACCAAGGCGAUGAUCAGUAGCCGGUCUGAGAGGAUGAACGGCCACAUUGGGACUGAGACACGGCCCAGACUCCUACGGGAGGCAGCAGUGGGGAAUCUUCCGCAAUGGACGAAAGUCUGACGGAGCAACGCCGCGUGAGUGAUGACGGCCUUCGGGUUGUAAAGCUCGGUUAAUCGGGACGAAAGGCCAUCUUGCGAAUAGUGAGAAGGAUUGACGGUACCGGAAUAGAAAGCCACGGCUAACUACGUG